CCUGGCUCAGAGUGAACGCUGGCGGCAUGNUUAACACAUGCAANUCGCACGGGCAGCAAUNUCAGUGGCGGACGGUGAGUACCGCGUAGGAAUGUGUCCAGAGGUGGGGGACAACCUUGGGAAACUGAGGCUAAUACCGCAUAUGAGCUGAGGCUCAAAGCCGCAAGGCGCCUUUGGAGUAGCCUGCGUCCGAUUAGCUAGUUGGUGGGGUAAAGGCCUACCAAGGCGACGAUCGGUAGCUGGUCUGAGAGGACGACCAGCCACACUGGGACUGAGACACGGCCCAGACUCCUACGGGAGGCAGCAGUGGGGAAUAUUGGACAAUGGGCGCAAGCCUGAUCCAGCAAUGCCGCGUGUGUGAAGAAGGUCUUCGGAUCGUAAAGCACUUUCGACGGGGACGAUGAUGACGGUACCCGUAGAAGAAGCCCCGGCUAACUUCGUGCCAGCAGCCGCGGUAAUACGAAGGGGGCUAGCGUUACUCGGAAUUACUGGGCGUAAAGGGCGCGUAGGCGGCGCUCCAAGUUAGGCGUGAAAGUCCUGGGCUCAACCUGGGAACUGCGCUUGAUACUGGAGUGCUUGAGGAUGGAAGAGGGUCGUGGAAUUCCCAGUGUAGAGGUGAAAUUCGUAGAUAUUGGGAAGAACACCGGUGGCGAAGGCGGCGACCUGGUCCAUUACUGACNCNNAGGCGGGNCAGCGUGGGACA
Molecule: ribosomal RNA, 703 nt
Filed under: soil bacterium ic01
Lineage: Bacteria
Description: bacterial SSU rRNA
Rfam family: Bacterial small subunit ribosomal RNA
Source: RNAcentral